RNAcentral lists this long non-coding RNA (1502 nucleotides) under Triticum aestivum (bread wheat). RNAcentral describes it as "long non-coding RNA (TAES_LNC002259)". Lineage: Eukaryota; Viridiplantae; Streptophyta; Magnoliopsida; Poales; Poaceae. The record is from RNAcentral.
UUCAUGUCAAUAUAUCUUACGACUCCAUAGCUCUAUCAACCUCCAGGACAAGUUUCUGUUGUUCUCUCGAUCUCCAUCCAUCAAACUUGGUUGAACCUACCACGCUGCCCAAUCGAGCAACGGCUGUCACGAGCAGCGCAUCCUCCUCCACAUCUUCUCUGUAUCAGGUCUCUAUUAGCGUCGUUCUCAGUUUUUGAGGCCGUCGCUGCAGGAUAGCGCAACCACUUAUUCUUUCUUUUCUCUCUUGCAGAUUCAUGUUUCUUAUUUCUCUUGCAGAUCCAAGUUCCCCUCCUCCGCUUAUUCCUUCUUUUCUAUCUUGCAGAUUCAUGUUUCUUAUCUCUAUUGCAGAUCUAAGUUCGCCUCCUUCUCCCCUUACAGGUGCCACCGCUUCCUAUAUUCUCCAACUUUUCUCGCAGAGAAUCAGAUGGCAAUCUGUGCAAGCAUAUGUCGCUGCUGCUAGCACGAGUUGAGUGUAAUUUUCUUGGGAUGAAUUAGACAAUGCCAAGCACAUCUGGCUUCCAGAGACGAGGAAUAUUUAGUCAGCGACUAAUCAUGGUAGUCAUGCCCUCUAGGUGGAAAUAAUAGAAACAACAAUAGUCGACUCAGGUAAGUGCUCAAAUCUUCAAAGAUUUACAACUGUAUCUCCUUAAAGAUUUACAAUUGUAUCUAUAAUUCUUUAUGAUCACUUUGGUGAUCAUGUAUUAUAGACAAGCAGAGAAGACCUCAUGGUUAUUUUGGAGUUCGCGGUUUAUUUAACCAGACAACGUCUCUCAUUACUGAUUCUUCUGCUCAAUUUGACACCUUUUCUAGGAGAUUGAUCAUGGCAACUAUGACGAUGGUGACGUACGUGUGCAGUCAUUUUCUUUUAUGCGGGUUUUAGUCGAUCAACCAACUAAGCCGACCGGUUGUAAGCUGUGUGCUAUACGCCGAGUGUAACACUCGGCGUACAGUUCGCCGAGUUUGAAACAGCUUUUGCCGUGUAUGAAACAUACACGGCUUACAAUGUUUUUGCUGUAGUGAGAUUGCUGUAAUGUAUAUCCAUGUAGUUGCAUGAAGCAAACGCAAUUUCGAGGUGCAUGUCACUUAUUUUCAAAUACUUUACUGAAUGCGCCAUACUGUAGUUGACUUCUUAUAUAGGGAAAAUAUGUGGAAGAUCCUCCACAUGAUUCCACUGUACGUUUUAACACUAGGUUGAAGAUGUUGGUUUGGCUGCUUCAGCACAUGCACUGACAGGCAUAAGCAUCACGUGUGUAAACUGAAAAUUCAGUCUAUCCUCAUGCUAAAUUAGCAUAAGCUUCUAACUUAUUAGGACAAUGAUACUAUGCUUCAACUCAAAAGGUAUACGUAUAAAGGGUAUUUUAAUUUUAUUGCACCUUGCUGAAAUCGAUGUUUUAUAUACUUCGGUGUCAGGUGGUAUCAAGCUUGAUCAUGAAAUCUUUGAAAGUAUAAACACCAUUCUUGCAUGUGUGUGAACUUACACGCAAACUCACCCAAGGUGCCAG